ACUGAGUUUUGAGACGUGUCAAAUAGAUGGCGUGUUGAUUGUUGUGUCAGUUAUGGGUUUAUGGCGUUUUGCUGUCAAAAGUGAAGUUAUCUUUUCUUCGAAAAUUAUCAAUGAAUUCACAUGUAAAUUCGAGUGAUUUCGUCUCUAACUUGUCGGUGAUGUGUUCUAUUCCGUGUAUGUGUUAGAUAACUUUAAUGUUUCUCAUCAACUUAUAGGAGGAAACAUGAAAGGGUCGUUGCCGUCGUGCAGCCUACCGUCAUCUAUUUUGUUCAAAAUCUUUGUAUUCUUCCGAAUGUGCCAUCGAAAUGAUACAGAAUUUAUAAUUAUCUGCUGUUUGUAUUGGACUUGCUAGAUCACCAACCCCAGCAUAGACCAAUCUCUCAUUUCAUCUUCUCGAGAGAAGAUUGGAUAACUGAUCUGUGGUUUCAUGUGUAAGUUCACUUAUUAUGUCACUGAACUUUUGCCGUUGCAGCCUAAUAUGUAUUUAAAGAUCUUAACUCCAGGUUUCUAAAUUUGCAUGGCAGACUUUAUGAGAAGUCAUGUCCUUUCAAGAAAGUCAACAAGGUCACUUGUUUACUAACCUUUUGGCUGCUACCCUUGAAUCUCCCUUUUUACUCUCUAAAUAGCGGGCCAUCUUAA
Daphnia pulicaria is the source of this 639-nucleotide long non-coding RNA. RefSeq lists it as uncharacterized. NCBI's taxonomy places the organism in Eukaryota, Metazoa, Arthropoda, Branchiopoda, Diplostraca, Daphniidae. The transcript has 3 exons. The record is from RefSeq and is a predicted model, not a curated record.